This 921-nucleotide long non-coding RNA is filed under the name Triticum aestivum (bread wheat). RNAcentral's name for it is "long non-coding RNA (TAES_LNC026379)". Lineage: Eukaryota; Viridiplantae; Streptophyta; Magnoliopsida; Poales; Poaceae. The record is from RNAcentral.
CCAUGAUGGCGCCACGGUGUAGACCAGCAUCAACCUGGAAAACUGUGUCAAGUGCCGAAAUGCCGGAUUCAGAAUUGCAGCUGUAUGGUCGUUGGCAGAAUGUUGCAAAGUUGGCUUAUCACAAGAUUGACUCGAUGCAUACUGGAUAGCGAUGUCAGAACAUAUUCCCUGAAUAUGAGAUAAGAUUAAGUGGCUGAUUAACAGGACCACCUACAUGAAACAAACAGUUGUUUAAGAAAUAAAGGACAGACCCAGUGCAUAGAAGCUCCCACACAAGGUGGGGUCUGGGGAGGGAUUAUAGGAACCUAGUCUUACCCCUGCAAAGUGCAAUGCAGAGAGGCUGGUUCGAACCCAGGACCUCUUGGCACAAGUGGGGAGGACUUCAAUGACUAGAUGAAUUUCAUAAUAAAGUGCCGUAACACUUGUGAAAAGUAAUCUAGAUGAGGUAAUGAAGGGCGUCCAAAAAAAUAACAUGACAUAUAAACACUUGAGCUCAUUAACAUACUUCGUUUCAACUUUUCUUUCUCACAGGCAUAAGCUUGUUUGGCUCAGAAUAAUAACAGAGUAGUAUGAUACAUCACAGCUUGCCCUCCCGUUUAUUUUAUUUAAUUUUCUAUUUCUUAAAGGACGAAAACCUUUGGAGUAAAAUCUCAUUUUGUUUUGCUUAUCCCCAGUAACAUACUUGCAAAAUUAGUUCAAGAGUGAUCAAUCCACAAACAGCAUAACAAUUAUGUAAAUAGGUUCAAUCACUUCAUUGAUUUUCAAGGAAAAGUGUGUAACUGGAAAGUUAAGCCAACUAGUCAGAUACCUGCAACGUGCUUGAGCGAGUCUGCAUGCCAAAAAAUAGUGAAGGGAACGUGCACCUUUGGUGAUUUAGUGGAAUUUUUUCUUGGACAGCAUAGCUUCAAUGGUUCCUUUGCC